This 488-nucleotide ribosomal RNA is filed under the name uncultured bacterium. RNAcentral's name for it is "partial 16S ribosomal RNA". It matches the Rfam family "Bacterial small subunit ribosomal RNA", at positions 28 to 507 of the family's 1533-position model. The record is from RNAcentral.
GACGAACGCUGGCGGCGUGCUUAACACAUGCAAGUCGAACGCGCCUGUCCUCUGGGUUUCUGGGGGGUGGGUGAGUGGCGAACGGGUGAGUAACACGUGAGUAACCUGCCCCCUUCUUCGGGAUAACGGUCUGAAAGGGCUGCUAAUACCGGGUAUUCACUGGUCUCCGCAUGGGGUCUGGUGGAAAGGUUUUUUUCUGGUGGGGGAUGGGCUCGCGGCCUAUCAGCUUGUUGGUGGGGUGAUGGCCCACCAAGGCUUUGACGGGUAGCCGGCCUGAGAGGGUGACCGGUCACAUUGGGACUGAGAUACGGCCCAGACUACUACGGGAGGCAGCAGUGGGGAAUAAUGCACAAUGGGCGCAAGCCUGAUGCAGCGACGCCGCGUGAGGGAUGGAGGCCUUCGGGUUGUGAACCUCUUUCGCCCGUGGUCAAGCCGCGACGUGGGUCGUGGUGAGGGUAGUGGGUAAAGAAGCGCCGGCUAACUACGUG